ACUUUACAAUGCGGGCAACCGUGAUAAGGGAACCUCGAGUGCCUGUACAUGCAGGCUGUCUGGGUGUCUAAAACACACCCAAAGAAAGGGCCGGGCAAGACCGGUGCCAGCCGCCGCGGUAAUACCGGCGGCUCGAGUGGUGGCCACUUUUAUUGGGCUUAAAGCGUUCGUAGCUGGGUUGUUAAGUCUCUUGGGAAAUCUGGCAGCUUAACUGUCAGGCGUCUAAGGGAUACUGGCAAUCUAGGAACCGGGAGAGGUGAGGGGUACUUCGGGGGUAGGA
This 280-nucleotide ribosomal RNA is filed under the name uncultured archaeon. RNAcentral's name for it is "partial 16S rRNA". It matches the Rfam family "Archaeal small subunit ribosomal RNA", at positions 347 to 631 of the family's 1478-position model. The record is from RNAcentral.